UUAACCUAAACCCUAAAUCCAGCCGCACUCACAGCCGUACUCCCUCGGUUCCUCUUCCUCACUCCUCAGUUCCUCUCUCUCACAAGGACCCCCCAAAUCCCUGGCUUCGUUCUCCUCCGAUCCUCUAAUGGCGCUCCGUUCUCCUCCGAUCCUCUAAUGGUGGUCGCUUCCUUGGACGAGAAUACGGCCGCGAAAGUCCUCCGCCAGGUGGAGUUUUAUUUCAGUGACAGCAAUCUUCCGAGGGACAAGUUCUUGAAACAAAAGGUUGAAGAGAGCGAAGAUGGAUUGGUGAGUUUGUGGUUGAUAUGUUCCUUUGCUCGGAUGAGAACCCUUCUUGGAUUGGGUGAGGUGAAGGAGGAGGCGGUUCCGGAGGAGAAAGAAAGCGUUGGCGGUGGCGGAGACAUUGAGGAAGUCUAAUGUCCUUAAAGUAUCUGAAGAUGAUUGCCGCUCUUUUCACAUAUGGUUUGAAGAGUUUUGCAUUCAACAUUUUGGUGGGUAUUUUCAAAAUUUUGUAAGCUGAAUGUGUGGGGCCCGCAAUACACUAUAGCAACGCCUGUUUUUGAAGAGUUUUUUUCAGAUUGCCGCUCUUUUGAACAGAUGGUUUGAAGAGUUUUGCAUUUAACAUUUUGGUGGUUAUUUUCAAAAUUUUGUAAGAUGAAUGUGUGGGGCCCGCAAGAUACUGUAGCUACUCGUUUUUGAAGAGGUAUGUAGCAAGUUUGAUUACUUUUUCCACUUGGUUUUUCCACAUAUUGCCUCUUUUGUUUUUUUUGGUUAACCGUUUAUAUGUACAUGAGGUGUGAAGAGCAGAACCAUCUAUAUGUACAUGAGGUGUCAACUGCAGAAUUUUGCAAGUGGCUUGUGUGGGGCCCACAAAUUACUGUAGCGACGAUUGGUUUGAAGAUUUAUUCAAGAACUUUGAAUAAUUUUCUUUUCACAGAUUGCCAUUUAUUUUCUUUUUUUGUUUAAAGUUUACCAAUUUAUAUGUAUAUGAGGUGUAAGUUGGUGAGUUUGUAAAAGAAUGUGUGGGGGCUCAUGAAAUGUUGAAGAGCAGAUCCUGAUUUUGAAGAGGUAUGCAGCAAGUUUGAUUAUUUUUGCCACUUAA
This is an RNA transcript of Asparagus officinalis (garden asparagus), 1102 nucleotides long. It is a transcript of the gene named la protein 2-like, with no coding region annotated. The record is from RefSeq and is a predicted model, not a curated record. Lineage: Eukaryota; Viridiplantae; Streptophyta; Magnoliopsida; Asparagales; Asparagaceae. The transcript has 5 exons.